UACGAAGGGGGGCUAGCGUUGUUCGGAAUUACUGGGCGUAAAGCGCACGUAGGCGGACAUUUAAGUCAGGGGUGAAAUCCCAGAGCUCAACUCUGGAACUGCCUUUGAUACUGGGUGUCUUGAGUAUGGAAGAGGUGAGUGGAAUUCCGAGUGUAGAGGUGAAAUUCGUAGAUAUUCGGAGGAACACCAGUGGCGAAGGCGGCUCACUGGUCCAUUACUGACGCUGAGGUGCGAAAGCGUGGGGAGCAAACAGG
Molecule: ribosomal RNA, 254 nt
Filed under: uncultured bacterium
Lineage: Bacteria
Description: partial 16S ribosomal RNA
Rfam family: Bacterial small subunit ribosomal RNA
Source: RNAcentral